RNAcentral lists this ribosomal RNA (420 nucleotides) under Slackia exigua. RNAcentral describes it as "partial 16S ribosomal RNA". It matches the Rfam family "Bacterial small subunit ribosomal RNA", at positions 28 to 444 of the family's 1533-position model. Lineage: Bacteria; Bacillati; Actinomycetota; Coriobacteriia; Eggerthellales; Eggerthellaceae. The record is from RNAcentral.
GAUGAACGCUGGCGGCGCGCCUAACACAUGCAAGUCGAACGGUUAAGGCCCCCUUUAGGGGGCGCAUAGAGUGGCGAACGGGUGAGUAACACGUGACCAACCCGCCCCCCCCCACCGGGACAACCUCGGGAAACCGAGGCUAAUACCGGAUACGCCGGGGCCCCCGCAUGGGGGCCCCGGGAAAGCCUUGGCGGGAGGGGACGGGGUCGCGGCCCAUCAGGUAGACGGCGGGGCGAAGGCCCGCCGUGCCGACGACGGGUAGCCGGGCUGAGAGGCCGAUCGGCCACAUUGGGACUGAGACACGGCCCAGACUCCUACGGGAGGCAGCAGUGGGGAAUAUUGCGCAAUGGGCGAAAGCCUGACGCAGCGACGCCGCGUGCGGGAAGGAGGCCUUCGGGUCGUAAACCGCUUUCAGCAGGG